UGGGGAAUAUUGGACAAUGGGGGCAACCCUGAUCCAGCAAUGCCGCGUGUGUGAAGAAGGUCUUCGGAUUGUAAAGCACUUUCGACGGGGACGAUGAUGACGGUACCCGUAGAAGAAGCCCCGGCUAACUUCGUGCCAGCAGCCGCGGUAAUACGAAGGGGGCUAGCGUUGCUCGGAAUGACUGGGCGUAAAGGGCGUGUAGGCGGUUUACACAGUCAGAUGUGAAAUCCCCGGGCUUAACCUGGGAGCUGCAUUUGAUACGUGUAGACUAGAGUGUGAGAGAGGGUUGUGGAAUUCCCAGUGUAGAGGUGAAAUUCGUAGAUAUUGGGAAGAACACCGGUGGCGAAGGCGGCAACCUGGCUCAUGACUGACGCUGAGGCGCGAAAGCGUGGGGAGCAAACAGGAUUAGAUACCCUGGUAGUCCACGCUGUAAACGAUGUGUGCUAGAUGUUGGGUAACUUUGUUAUUCAGUGUCGCAGUUAACGCGUUAAAGCACACCGCCUGGGGAGUACGGGCCGCAAGGUUG
RNAcentral lists this ribosomal RNA (526 nucleotides) under uncultured bacterium. RNAcentral describes it as "partial 16S ribosomal RNA". It matches the Rfam family "Bacterial small subunit ribosomal RNA", at positions 355 to 896 of the family's 1533-position model. The record is from RNAcentral.